This 253-nucleotide ribosomal RNA is filed under the name uncultured bacterium. RNAcentral's name for it is "partial 16S ribosomal RNA". It matches the Rfam family "Bacterial small subunit ribosomal RNA", at positions 524 to 776 of the family's 1533-position model. The record is from RNAcentral.
UACAGAGGGGGCAAGCGUUGUCCGGAAUUACUGGGCGUACAGCGCGCGCAGGCGGUUGCCGACGUGCCGUGUGACAAACGGGGGCUCAACCCCCGAGGGCCACGGUAAACGGGGCGACUGGAGGAAGGGAGAGGGAUGUGGAAUGCCCGGUGGAGCGGUGAAACGCGUAGAGAUGUGGAGGAACACCGAUGGCGAAGGCAGCCCCCUGGGCUAACACUGACGCUCAUGCACGAAAGCGUGGGGAGCAAACAGG